ACGUACACUCCUGCGGGAGGCAGCAGUGGGGAAUAUUGCACAAUGGGCGCAAGCCUGAUGCAGCCAUGCCGCGUGUAUGAAGAAGGCCUUCGGGUUGUAAAGUACUUUCAGCGGGGAGGAAGGCGAUAAGGUUAAUAACCUUGUUGAUUGACGUUACCCGCAGAAGAAGCACCGGCUAACUCCGUGCCAGCAGCCGCGGUAAUACGGAGGGUGCAAGCGUUAAUCGGAAUUACUGGGCGUAAAGCGCACGCAGGCGGUCUGUCAAGUCGGAUGUGAAAUCCCCGGGCUCAACCUGGGAACUGCAUUCGAAACUGGCAGGCUAGAGUCUUGUAGAGGGGGGUAGAAUUCCAGGUGUAGCGGUGAAAUGCGUAGAGAUCUGGAGGAAUACCGGUGGCGAAGGCGGCCCCCUGGACAAAGACUGACGCUCAGGUGCGAAAGCGUGGGGAGCAAACAGGAUUAGAAACCCCAGUAGUCCCA
This 477-nucleotide ribosomal RNA is filed under the name uncultured organism. RNAcentral's name for it is "partial 16S ribosomal RNA". It matches the Rfam family "Bacterial small subunit ribosomal RNA", at positions 329 to 797 of the family's 1533-position model. The record is from RNAcentral.